GCCGAUGUGGUGGAAUUGGUAGACACGCUAUCUUGAGGGGGUAGUGGCGUGAGCCGUGCCGGUUCAAAUCCGGCCAUCGGUACCA
Molecule: transfer RNA, 85 nt
Filed under: Candidatus Thiodiazotropha sp. (ex Lucinoma aequizonata)
Lineage: Bacteria; Pseudomonadati; Pseudomonadota; Gammaproteobacteria; Chromatiales; Sedimenticolaceae
Description: tRNA-Leu
Rfam family: tRNA
About the family: Transfer RNA (tRNA) molecules are approximately 80 nucleotides in length. Their secondary structure includes four short double-helical elements and three loops (D, anti-codon, and T loops).
Source: RNAcentral